CAGCCGCCGCGGUAAUACGUAGGGUGCAAGCGUUAAUCGGAAUUACUGGGCGUAAAGCGUGCGCAGGCGGUUUGUUAAGACAGAUGUGAAAUCCCCGGGCUCAACCUGGGAACUGCAUUUGUGACUGGCAAGCUAGAGUCUGGCAGAGGGGGGUGGAAUUCCGCGUGUAGCAGUGAAAUGCGUAGAUAUGCGGAGGAACACCGAUGGCGAAGGCAGCCCCCUGGGCCAACACUGACGCUCAUGCACGAAAGCGUGGGGAGCAAACAGGAUUAGAUACCCGAGUAGUCCCUGUCUCUUAUAA
Molecule: ribosomal RNA, 301 nt
Filed under: uncultured bacterium
Lineage: Bacteria
Description: partial 16S ribosomal RNA
Rfam family: Bacterial small subunit ribosomal RNA
Source: RNAcentral